UUUUUGUGUAAGUGUAUUUUAUAAUUGUUAGAUUUAUAUAAAAAGUUUUAUAUGUUUAUAUAGUAAUUUUAUAAUUUUAUUUUGAGGAAAUUAAAGUGUUUAAAGCAUGAAUGUUUGGUUGAAUGAUGUAGUAUGGAAUAAUAAAAAUGUAAUAGAAUUUGUUUUAAUGGUUGGUUUUAAAAUGUUAUUAAAUUAUUUUUAAGAAUAGUUGGGGGUAUUUGUAUUUAACAAGCAAGAGGUGAAAUUCUUAGAUUUGUUGAAGAUAAAUUAUUGCGAAAGCAUUUAUUAAAAAUGUUUUUUUAAAUUAAGAACAAAAGUUAAGGGAUCGAAGACGAUCAGAUACCGUCGUAGUCUUAAUUAUAAACUAUGCUGAUUAGGGAUUAGAUGUUUUUAAUUAAAUGAAUUGUUUAGUAUUUUUAAAGAAAUCAAAGUUUUUAGGUUUUGGGGGGAGUAUAGUUGCAAAGUUGAAACUUAAAGGAAUUGACGGAAAGGCACCACCAGAAGUGGAGUAUGCGGUUUAAUUUGACUCAACACGGGAAAUCUUAUUAGGUCCAGACAUAGGAAGGAUUGAUAGAUUAAUAGUUUUUUUUUGAUUUUAUGGGUGGUG
This 607-nucleotide ribosomal RNA is filed under the name Aggregata octopiana. RNAcentral describes it as "partial 18S ribosomal RNA". It matches the Rfam family "Eukaryotic small subunit ribosomal RNA", at positions 676 to 1279 of the family's 1831-position model. The record is from RNAcentral. Lineage: Eukaryota; Apicomplexa; Marosporida; Aggregatidae.